Molecule: long non-coding RNA, 236 nt
Filed under: Gossypium raimondii (Peruvian cotton)
Lineage: Eukaryota; Viridiplantae; Streptophyta; Magnoliopsida; Malvales; Malvaceae
Description: long non-coding RNA (GRAI_LNC005587)
Source: RNAcentral
GGGAGAAGAUUAAGGGAUUUUGGGGGUUAUCAGGAUUUUAUUUUAUUUUUUCCCAUAACCGAAUUUUGACUCUCUUUUAAAAAAAUUUUUUUUUGCUGUCUAUUCUUCUCACUCUCCUCUUGCCAAAAUUCUCUGGGUUUUUCCAUCUUUCUCUUCUUUUUCUUCUUCUUGAUUUUUUUCUAAUCCAUUUAUUUUCCUUCGUUUUCGCACGCGGUUAGUGCUCGCUUAGUUUCGGU